GAUGAAUAUUUUGUACCGAAAAACCUAGAUUUUAUUUAAUAUCGUUGUGAACUAAAACUGUUCAAGUUGAUUGUGUUUAAAUAUUAAGUAAGUAGUGAAAUAUUAGUCGUUGGGUUUUAUAUCUGUGUAACUGCUAUACUAUUUUGAUUUAGACUUAAGGCGAUAAGGUUUUGAGUAAGUUUAUACUGAUAUUUAUAUGCUGUUAUAAUGGGGUUAAAGGUACCUAAUUUUAGUAAGUUUGUUAAAAAUUUUGUUGGUUUGGUUGUGUUUAGUUAAUUUUUUUGCAGUUUGUUUAAUAUUUAGAGUUUAAAUAUUAUUAAAUAAGUAAUUAAAUUAUAGUUGUUAUUUCUAGAGUUUUGCCCGUCUGUUUAUUAAAAACAUUUCUAAGUUAUAUUAUACUUAGUAGGACCUGCUCAAUGCUUAUGUUAAUAGCCGCAGUAUUUUGACUGUGCAAAGGUAGCAUAAUUAAUUGUCUUAUAAUUGAAGACUUGUUUGAAUGGUUGGACGUGGUAAUAAUGAAUAUCUACUAUUUAUUUGAAAUUAUUUUUGUGGUUUAGAAACCACGAAGUUUAGUUAGACGGAAAGACCCCGGGAUCUUUUAAUUUUGCUUGGGGCAAGUUUUUGUUUUUUACUUAGAUUAUGUUCCUAUAUAUGUUUAGAUUGAUGGGUUAAGUUACCCCGGGGAUAACAGUGUAAUAAUUAAUAAAAGAUCAUAUUGAGUUAGUUGAUUGCCACCUCGAUGUUGACUUAGGUUUGAAGCUGUGGGCGCAGUAGUUUACGGUUUAGGUCUGUUCGACCUUAAUUACCUUCAUGAGUUGAGUUAAGACCGGCGUGAGCCAGGUCGGUUCUUAUCUACUGUGGUGGCUUAUUAGUACGAAAGGAUUGUAAGCCUUUUUGU
RNAcentral lists this ribosomal RNA (898 nucleotides) under Moniezia expansa (sheep tapeworm). Its description in RNAcentral is "large subunit ribosomal RNA". The stretch from base 547 to 898 matches the Rfam family "Bacterial large subunit ribosomal RNA", at positions 2048 to 2707 of the family's 2925-position model. Lineage: Eukaryota; Metazoa; Platyhelminthes; Cestoda; Cyclophyllidea; Anoplocephalidae. The record is from RNAcentral.